GAACGUACGCUGGCGGCACGCCUAACACAUGCAAGUCGAACGAAGUAGCAAUACUUAGUGGCAGACGGGUGAGUAACAUGUAGGUAUCUGCCCUUUGGCCUGGAAUAACACGAGGAAACUUGUGCUAAUACCGGAUAAGUCUUUACGGAGAAAGCUUUAUGCACCAUUGGAUGAGCCUGCACUUGAUUAGUUUGUUGGUGGGGUAAUGGCCUACCAAGACUGUGAUCAAUAGCUGAUUUGAGAGGAUGAUCAGCCACAUUGGGACUGAGACACGGCCCAAACUCCUACGGGAGGCAGCAGUGGGGAAUCUUGCACAAUGGAGGAAACUCUGAUGCAGCGAUGCCGCGUGAGUGAAGAAGGCCCUUGGGUUGUAAAGCUCUUUCGUCGGGGAAGAAAAUGACUGUACCCGAAUAAGAAGGUCCGGCUAACUUCGUGCCAGCAGCCGCGGUAAUACGAAGGGACCUAGCGUAGUUCGGAAUUACUGGGCUUAAAGAGUUCGUAGGUGGUUGAAAAAGUUAGUGGUGAAAUCCCAGAGCUUAACUCUGGAACUGCCAUUAAAACUUUUCAGCUAGAGUAUGAUAGAGGAAAGCAGAAUUUCUAGUGUAGAGGUGAAAUUCGUAGAUAUUAGAAAGAAUACCAAUUGCGAAGGCAGCUUUCUGGAUCAUUACUGACACUGAGGAACGAAAGCAUGGGUAGCGAAGAGGAUUAGAUACCCUCGUAGUCCAUGCCGUAAACGAUGUGUGUUAGACGUUGGAAAUUUAUUUUCAGUGUCGCAGGGAAACCGAUAAACACACCGCCUGGGGAGUACGACCGCAAGGUUAAAACUCAAAUGAAUUGACGGGGACCCGCACAAGUAGUGGAGCAUGUGGUUUAAUUCGAAGAUACGCGCAGAACCUUACCAACACUUGACAUGUUCGUCGCAACUUUAAGAGAUUAAAGUUUUCGGUUCGGCCGGACGAAACACAGGUGCUGCAUGGCUGUCGUCAGCUCGUGUCGUGAGAUGUUGGGUUAAGUCCCGCAACGAGCGCAACCCUCACUUUUAGUUGCCAUCAUUAAGUUGGGCACUCUGAAAGAACUGCCAGUGAUAAGCUGGAGGAAGGUGGGGAUGACGUCAAGUCCUCAUGGCCCUUACGUGUUGGGCUACACACGUGCUACAAUGGUAUCUACAACAGGAAGCAAGACUGCGAAGUUAAGCAAAUCCCUAAAAGAUACCUCAGUUCGGAUUGCACUCUGCAACUCGAGUGCAUGAAGCUGGAAUUACUAGUAAUCGUGGAUCAGCGUGCCACGGUGAAUGCGUUCCCGGGUCUUGUACACACCGCC
This 1320-nucleotide ribosomal RNA is filed under the name uncultured Alphaproteobacteria bacterium. RNAcentral describes it as "bacterial SSU rRNA". It matches the Rfam family "Bacterial small subunit ribosomal RNA", at positions 27 to 1394 of the family's 1533-position model. Lineage: Bacteria; Pseudomonadati; Pseudomonadota; Alphaproteobacteria. The record is from RNAcentral.